UAGUCCACGCCGUAAACGAUGAGAACUAGAUGUUGGGGGGAAUUGCCCCUCGGUGUCGCAGCUAACGCGUUAAGUUCUCCGCCUGGGGAGUACGCCGGCAACGGUAAAACUCAAAGGAAUUGACGGGGACCCGCACAAGCGGUGGAGCAUGUGGUUUAAUUCGAUGCAACGCGAAGAACCUUACCUGCCCUUGACAUUGACAGAAUCCUGUAGAGAUACGGGAGUGCUUCGGCCUGGAAAACAGGUGCUGCAUGGCUGUCGUCAGCUCGUGUCGUGAGAUGUUGGGUUCAGUCCCGCAACGAGCGCAACCCUCGUCCUUAGUUGCCAUCAUUAAGUUGGGCACUUUGAGGAGACUGCCGGUGACAAACCGGAGGAAGGUGGGGAUGACGUCAAGUCAUCAUGCCCCUUACAUCCUGGGCUACACACGUACUACAAUGCAACGGACAAAGGGCAGCCAACUAGCGAUAGUGAGCUAAUCCCAUAAACCGUUGCUCAGUUCAGAUUGC
This 506-nucleotide ribosomal RNA is filed under the name uncultured bacterium. Its description in RNAcentral is "bacterial SSU rRNA". It matches the Rfam family "Bacterial small subunit ribosomal RNA", at positions 791 to 1301 of the family's 1533-position model. The record is from RNAcentral.